This 63-nucleotide transfer RNA is filed under the name Physidae sp. PE4. RNAcentral describes it as "tRNA-Ala". RNAcentral also lists the same sequence under 1 other name. Lineage: Eukaryota; Metazoa; Mollusca; Gastropoda; Physidae. The record is from RNAcentral.
GGUAUUUUACUUUAUGUAAGAAGAGUUAGUUUGCAUCUAAUCAGAGGUCUAUACCAUUUACCA